This 401-nucleotide ribosomal RNA is filed under the name uncultured bacterium. RNAcentral's name for it is "bacterial SSU rRNA". It matches the Rfam family "Bacterial small subunit ribosomal RNA", at positions 29 to 416 of the family's 1533-position model. The record is from RNAcentral.
AACGAACGUUGGCGGCGUGGAUGAGGCAUGCAAGUCGAACGCGAAAGCCGCAAGGCGAGUAAAGUGGCGGACGGGCGAGUAACACGUAAUCAAGCUACCUGCGAGACGGGGAUAACUUCGGGAAACCGAAGCUAAGACCCGAUGGUCUUCUAGGAACGCAUGUUCCAUGAAGUAAAUGGGCGGGAUCCUCCGGGAUCGCCUGCUCGCAGAGGUGAUUGCGGCCCAUCAGCUAGUUGGUAGGGUAAUGGCCUACCAAGGCAACGACGGGUAGCCGGCCUUAGAGGGUGGUCGGCCGCACUGGGACUGAGACACUGCCCAGACUCCUACGGGAGGCUGCAGUCGAGAAUCUUCCGCAAUGGGCGAAAGCCUGACGGAGCGACGCCGCGUGGAGGACGAAGGCC